CCCUCUCUGCUCAGUCUCUAUAAAUACCAAGCACAUUCCGAAAUUCUCAGGCCCUGGCACGUGCCACCGGCAAUUGUUGACAUCUAAACAUGAUUACAAAUCAAUGAGCCAAAGCUAAAACUGUUCGUUAAAAAAUGUUUUCCUUAAGUAUAUAAAGUUAAUAUUCUACGUUUUAAAAAUGCUACUAAUAUAUAGACAAUGCACCUGUUUUGUAUUAAACAUCUCAAUAUUUUAAAGUCUUUUGAGCUCUAUCCGCUGCAGUUUGAUACAUCAAUAAUGAUUGGAAUAGUAUGACAUGACACCAUGUCAGAUUAAAAGAAUUAUACAUAUGCAUGUGUUCCGCUACAUGAGUAUGAAAGAACUUGCUAUGGAAUUGCUUUAAUUUAUGUACCUGCAUAUCCCACUGCUAAUUUUCUCUUCUGUCAGAGUUUAUAUUUUCAUAUCAUACACUACAUCUCUACAUAUGUAGCCAAAACUAUAGAAAAAUUCCAUCUUUUCUAUUUAGAUAUGGGGCAAUUUAUAUCGACGAGACCAGUUGUUUGCAAAAGAAAGGGGGACCUCGUCCGUUAUGCAUGGGCCUCGGUGAAGUCUAAUUCUGUUAAUGAGAUUAUAAACCUUGAAGUCGGACCGCAGGUUCAUAGUUUCUAUGGAUAUAUAGACACCAAAAAGAAGGAGUAGGUAGAAUAGGUAGUCAUUGCCUGCAUGUCUGAAGAUUUUAAGCUAGCUAAGAAGCUAAUUGAUGUCGGGGCGGACAUUAAUUUACGUGUACGGAGUUACAAGCAGCAGGAGAAGGUUCCACCUUUGUAUUAUGCUAUAGCAGCAAGGGAUGCAGACAUUGUAAAGCUACUGUUAGAUUCAGGUGCGGAUGUGAACGAAUAUAAAGGAUAUAAGCAAUUAAUUACUCUUCAAAAGCCAGAGAGAGAGAGCGAUACAGUAUUAUUCUUUCGAAGUAUUCAAUAAAUUUACCAGUGAUUUCCGAUCGACCAUGGUCGCCAAUGACAAAAGUACUCGAGCUUUACUUGUUGGCCGGGGCAAAGUUAAACACAACUCGCUGGGGCCACUGUUUCUUUUAUGGGAGAGGUAAAGUCUACGAGUCUAGAAAUUGUCCACUGGGCAUUCCGGAUCCGUGCUUUUCCUGUGAUACAGUGGUUUUACUUCUGCAACACGGAAUUGAUCCAAACCAAUAUAAACUCAGCGACGUAUUGCAACAAUUUCCCUACCAUUACUACAUUCGUUACAGAUUAACAAGGGACUGUGUGAGUUUUCAUAUAUUGCUGCACAUAUUUAUUGCAGCUGGUUACCAAUAUACAAGUGACGAUCUAGACUCUCAAGAUACCCGGAUAAAAAUGAAAGAAUAUGGCUUUACUAUGGAAGAACCUCUUAGCUUAAAACAGAGUUGUCGUUCGCUGAUAAGGAAACACUUGCGGAUACUAAAUAAAGAUACAACAAUUUUUCCUUCUGUUGACAAGCUACCUAUCCCACUUCCGUUAAAGGAAUAUCUGAAAUUGUACAAUAUCAUUGACUUAAACAAUAGUUCAAUAGACUGUU
This is an RNA transcript of Saccostrea cuccullata (small rock oyster), 1548 nucleotides long. RefSeq lists it as uncharacterized. Lineage: Eukaryota; Metazoa; Mollusca; Bivalvia; Ostreida; Ostreidae. The transcript has 5 exons. The record is from RefSeq and is a predicted model, not a curated record.